Molecule: unclassified non-coding RNA, 272 nt
Filed under: plant metagenome
Description: partial contains small subunit ribosomal RNA, internal transcribed spacer 1, and 5.8S ribosomal RNA
Source: RNAcentral
UUUCCGUAGGUGAACCUGCGGAAGGAUCAUUAAUGAGUUGUCAUGGGGUUCGAUGCUGGCAGCCAGUUUUUGGAUGCAUGUGCUUGCCCUAACAAUCAUCUUCUUCCAAACACCUGUGCACAUUUUUGAGGGAGUCUUGAGUUGGUUGCCGCUCUUGGGUGAUUUUCUCACAUUCUCUUAAAUCAUUAUACGCUAUUAACAAUGUUGAACGUGCUCUGUGCCGCAAGGCCAUUAAUAUAAUACAACUUUUAACAACGGAUCUCUUGGCUCUC